UACGUAGGUGGCAAGCGUUAUCCGGAAUUAUUGGGCGUAAGGCGCGCGUAGGCGGUUUUUUAAGUCUGAUGUGAAAGCCCACGGCUCAACCGUGGAGGGUCAUUGGAAACUGGAAAACUUGAGUGCAGAAGAGGAAAGUGGAAUUCCAUGUGUAGCGGUGAAAUGCGCAGAGAUAUGGAGGAACACCAGUGGCGAAGGCGACUUUCUGNGUCUGUAACUGACGCUGAUGUGCGAAAGCGUGGGGAUCAAACAGGAUUAGAUAC
This 263-nucleotide ribosomal RNA is filed under the name uncultured Staphylococcus sp. RNAcentral describes it as "partial 16S ribosomal RNA". It matches the Rfam family "Bacterial small subunit ribosomal RNA", at positions 524 to 785 of the family's 1533-position model. Lineage: Bacteria; Bacillati; Bacillota; Bacilli; Caryophanales; Staphylococcaceae. The record is from RNAcentral.